UCAACAACUGGGUCACUAGCAGACCGAGCUCGUCCAGGAAAACGGCUUCUGGCCGAACAAGACGCGAGUAAAAGCUGCCAGGAGGCCGACGACGGCGGCGAUCUACCCGACCGGCCGCUUGCCUCGGAGCUUCAUCCUGAGCAAAUCCAUCCGCCAAGCCUUCAAGCUCUGACGCCUCAGGAAAUAAAACUGCUUGGAUCCAAA
Long non-coding RNA from Poeciliopsis prolifica (blackstripe livebearer), 204 nucleotides. RefSeq lists it as uncharacterized. Lineage: Eukaryota; Metazoa; Chordata; Actinopteri; Cyprinodontiformes; Poeciliidae. The record is from RefSeq and is a predicted model, not a curated record. The transcript is spliced from 2 exons.